Molecule: ribosomal RNA, 255 nt
Filed under: uncultured bacterium
Lineage: Bacteria
Description: partial 16S ribosomal RNA
Rfam family: Bacterial small subunit ribosomal RNA
Source: RNAcentral
UACGUAGGGGGCAAGCGUUGUCCGGAUUUAUUGGGCGUAAAGAGCGUGUAGGCGGUUUGGUAGGUCCGCUGUGAAAACUCGGAGGCUCAACCUCGAGACGCCGAUGGAAACCAUCAGACUAGAGUCCGGAAGAGGAGAGUGGAAUUCCUGGUGUAGCGGUGAAAUGCGCAGAUAUCAGGAAGAACACCCGUGGCUAAGGCGGCUCUCCAGUACGGUACUGACGCUGAGACGCGAAAGCCGUGGGGAGCGAACAGG